AUUAAAAUAGCUUUGGAAGCGUAGUAACUGUUAAUUACUUGAACUGGUUCAACUCCAGAUUUUAAUG
RNAcentral lists this transfer RNA (67 nucleotides) under Pyura gangelion. RNAcentral's name for it is "transfer RNA-Asn". The record is from RNAcentral. Lineage: Eukaryota; Metazoa; Chordata; Ascidiacea; Stolidobranchia; Pyuridae.